UGCCGCGUGUGUGAAGAAGGCCUUCGGGUUGUAAAGCACUUUCAGCGAGGAGGAAAGCUUAAGCGUUAAUAGCGUUUAGGUGUGACGUUACUCGCAGAAGAAGGACCGGCUAACUUCGUGCCAGCAGCCGCGGUAAUACGAGGGGUCCAAGCGUUAAUCGGAAUUACUGGGCGUAAAGCGUACGCAGGCGGUUUGUUAAGCGAGAUGUGAAAGCCCCGGGCUCAACCUGGGAACUGCAUUUCGAACUGGCAGACUAGAGUCUUGUAGAGGGGGGUAGAAUUUCAGGUGUAGCGGUGAAAUGCGUAGAGAUCUGAAGGAAUACCGGUGGCGAAGGCGGCCCCCUGGACAAAGACUGACGCUCAUGUACGAAAGCGUGGGGAGCAAACAGGAUUAGAUACCCUGGUAGUCCACGCCGUAAACGAUGUCUACUCGGAAUUUGGUGUCUUGAACACUGGGUUCUCAAGCUAACGCAUUAAGUAGACCGCCUGGGGAGUACGGCCGCAAGGUUAAAACUCAAAUGAAUUGACGGGGGCCCGCACAAGCGGUGGAGCAUGUGGUUUAAUUCGAUGCAACGCGAAGAACCUUACCUACUCUUGACAUCCAGAGAAUUUGCUAGAGAUAGCUUAGUGCCUUCGGGAACUCUGAGACAGGUGCUGCAUGGCUGUCGUCAGCUCGUGUUGUG
Molecule: ribosomal RNA, 682 nt
Filed under: Shewanella sp. LJSD2
Lineage: Bacteria; Pseudomonadati; Pseudomonadota; Gammaproteobacteria; Alteromonadales; Shewanellaceae
Description: bacterial SSU rRNA
Rfam family: Bacterial small subunit ribosomal RNA
Source: RNAcentral